RNAcentral lists this ribosomal RNA (310 nucleotides) under Paulasterias tyleri. Its description in RNAcentral is "partial 12S ribosomal RNA". The record is from RNAcentral. Lineage: Eukaryota; Metazoa; Echinodermata; Asteroidea; Forcipulatida; Paulasteriidae.
CUUAUAGACCUUCCUGGAGGAGCUUGCUAUCUAACCGAUAACCCACGUUAAACCUUACCAGCCCUUGAACACCAGCCUGUAUACCAUCGUCGUCAGCCUACCCCCCAAGGAAAGUAUACAAAAUGGGCCAAAAUUCCCACUACGCCAGAUCGAGGUGCAGCUUAUGGGCUGGGGAUCAGUGAGCUACAAUGAUAAAACAAUAACACCUAAAAUAAAAUUUUGAAUAAACCAAAGAAUCUUUGUUUUGAAACUGGAUUCAGCAGUAACAACUAACAGAAAAUAGUUGUGAACCUUUAGCUCUAUAAUGCGC